AGUGCCUGAGGGGGUAAGAGCCC
RNAcentral lists this microRNA (23 nucleotides) under Macaca fascicularis (crab-eating macaque). RNAcentral's name for it is "microRNA miR-550a-3-5p". The record is from RNAcentral. Lineage: Eukaryota; Metazoa; Chordata; Mammalia; Primates; Cercopithecidae. RNAcentral also lists the same sequence under 1 other name.